This 844-nucleotide ribosomal RNA is filed under the name uncultured bacterium. RNAcentral's name for it is "bacterial SSU rRNA". It matches the Rfam family "Bacterial small subunit ribosomal RNA", at positions 8 to 852 of the family's 1533-position model. The record is from RNAcentral.
AGAGUUUGAUCAUGGCUCAGGAUGAACGCUGGCGGCGUGCUUAGCACAUGCAAGUCGAACGAAGCACCUUGAUUUGAUUCUUCGGAUGAAGAUCUUGGUGACUGAGUGGCGGACGGGUGAGUAACGCGUGGGUAACCUGCCUCAUACAGGGGGAUAACAGUUAGAAAUGACUGCUAAUACCGCAUAAGACCACAGCACCGCAUGAUGCAGGGGUAAAAACUCCGGUGGUAUGAGAUGGACCCGCGUCUGAUUAGGUAGUUGGUGGGGUAACGGCCUACCAAGCCGACGAUCAGUAGCCGACCUGAGAGGGUGACCGGCCACAUUGGGACUGAGACACGGCCCAAACUCCUACGGGAGGCAGCAGUGGGGAAUAUUGCACAAUGGGGGAAACCCUGAUGCAGCGACGCCGCGUGAGCGAUGAAGUAUUUCGGUAUGUAAAGCUCUAUCAGCAGGGAAGAAAAUGACGGUACCUGACUAAGAAGCACCGGCUAAAUACGUGCCAGCAGCCGCGGUAAUACGUAUGGUGCAAGCGUUAUCCGGAUUUACUGGGUGUAAAGGGAGCGUAGACGGAGUGGCAAGUCUGAUGUGAAAACCCGGGGCUCAACCCCGGGACUGCAUUGGAAACUGUCAAUCUAGAGUACCGGAGAGGUAAGCGGAAUUCCUAGUGUAGCGGUGAAAUGCGUAGAUAUUAGGAGGAACACCAGUGGCGAAGGCGGCUUACUGGACGGUAACUGACGUUGAGGCUCGAAAGCGUGGGGAGCAAACAGGAUUAGAUACCCUGGUAGUCCACGCCGUAAACGAUGACUACUAGGUGUCGGGCAGCAAAGCUGUUCGGUGCCGCAGC